Molecule: ribosomal RNA, 224 nt
Filed under: uncultured Pseudomonas sp.
Lineage: Bacteria; Pseudomonadati; Pseudomonadota; Gammaproteobacteria; Pseudomonadales; Pseudomonadaceae
Description: partial 16S ribosomal RNA
Rfam family: Bacterial small subunit ribosomal RNA
Source: RNAcentral
UGGGGAAUAUUGGACAAUGGGCGAAAGCCUGAUCCAGCCAUGCCGCGUGUGUGAAGAAGGUCUUCGGAUUGUAAAGCACUUUAAGUUGGGAGGAAGGGUUGUAGAUUAAUACUCUGCAAUUUUGACGUUACCGACAGAAUAAGCACCGGCUAACUCUGUGCCAGCAGCCGCGGUAAUACAGAGGGUGCAAGCGUUAAUCGGAAUUACUGGGCGUAAAGCGCGCG